Molecule: ribosomal RNA, 441 nt
Filed under: uncultured bacterium
Lineage: Bacteria
Description: partial 16S ribosomal RNA
Rfam family: Bacterial small subunit ribosomal RNA
Source: RNAcentral
CCUACGGGGUGCAGCAGUGGGGGAUAUUGCACAAUGGGGGAAACCCUGAUGCAGCGACGCCGCGUGGGUGAAGAAGUAUUUCGGUAUGUAAAGCCCUAUCAGCAGGGAAGAAAGAAGACGGUACCUGACUAAGAAGCCCCGGCUAACUACGUGCCAGCAGCCGCGGUAAUACGUAGGGGGCGAGCGUUAUCCGGAUUCACUGGGUGUAAAGGGAGCGUAGACGGCCGUGCAAGCCAGGAGUGAAAGCCCGGGGCCCAACCCCGGGACUGCUCUUGGAACUGUGCGGCUGGAGUGCGGGAGGGGCAGGCGGAAUUCCUGGUGUAGCGGUGAAAUGCGUAGAUAUCAGGAGGAACACCGGCGGCGAAGGCGGCCUGCUGGACCGCGACUGACGUUGAGGCUCGAAAGCGUGGGGAGCGAACAGGAUUAGAUACUCGUGUAGUC